AAACCGAAUCCCCUGAUAUCAUCAGCCAUGGCACCAAUAGGAAAUGUGACCUCCACAGACGACCUGUCACCAUCUUACUCAGCUACCAUGGCACCAUACAGCGUAACCUCCGCACAGUAUGAACCAACGUUUUACACAACACUGGCCCCCACCUCAGCAGGAUUUGGAUUAAGUGAGUGUAUGGACUGGCUGACACUAGUUUGUGUGGGCGUUGGUGUUACAAUUGAGUUUCUCGUAGUUCAUGGCUUUAACUAGUAGUAGUAUUUCCCACCUACCAACCCCAGCACAACCUAGCCAAUGAAAGACCGAGCACCCACGACCCUAUCAAUUGUUUCAAAAGACCCCCUUUUCAAGUACGUCUUUCAAUUUACCAGCCUGCAGUCCCUCCUGGGGUAGGGGGAACCCUGCCACUGUUGUAUUUGUAUGUUAUCAGGGGUGCGUUCGAGUGAGCUACUCAAUUUGACACGAGUAUACUCCUAAUCACUCUAAUGGCUGGAAUAUGACCUGUGGGUCAGUGAGAGAAUACUCUGGGAGGCGGCAUGGGAAGAACCCUGCCAAUGUGGCAUAGUGCUCCAAGCUGUCAGGGGUGUGUCUGAGUGAGUUACUUGUGUGACUCCUGAGUGCUGGAACGGUUGGAGUACAAUUCGUGGGUCAGCAAUACUCCUGCACCUGGGUGUAAUGCACAUGCAUGCAUCCUACUCAUGUUAACUGGAGUAACCACACAAAUGCACCCAAUGAGUUUGGGAGUUAAAGCAUAUAAUGACAAUUGGAGACAUUACAAUGACCCCUGACGAGCUGCUCUGUGAUGCCUCCAAUGAUUUUGAAAUCCUCUCACGGGAAAAGCCCUGAACACCCUUCAACUAACAUUUAAAAAUCACAUUUUUUCUUUUUAUUUAGGGUGCAACAGAAGCAGGCAGCAGCAACAACACGGGCCCGUUCAAUUGACAGACAUGCCAGGUAAAGUGAAAAUCCACACACGUAAACAGUAAAUUGGAUCAACUCGGCAUUCAUAGGGCAACUAUUCACUGGUGCUGUUCAGCAAAUUUCAUAGCUUACAUUUUGACAACAUACGUAUGGAGAGCGAAAGAAAUGGCUUCUGGAAAAAAUUUAUGAAGGUCUAACUUAAA
Molecule: unclassified non-coding RNA, 1127 nt
Filed under: Acanthaster planci (crown-of-thorns starfish)
Lineage: Eukaryota; Metazoa; Echinodermata; Asteroidea; Valvatida; Acanthasteridae
Description: uncharacterized LOC110990798, transcript variant X2
Source: RNAcentral